UACCCUUUACCACUCUGAUACUCAAUAUUCUAUUCCAUUUAAGUGACUCAAUACAAAGAAAGUGGGAAUGUUUUCUUAGGUUAACCGAAGAAAACCCUAAAUAACUUAAGUGCUUUUGGAUUAAUUGAGCAUCAUCUUGUAGUAGAUGUCAAUCUCUAUUGUUAGACUUCACCAAAAAGCUCCUAGCACGGUGGAAAAAAGUAUCAAAUAUAGUCAAGUCUUCAAUAAAAU
Molecule: long non-coding RNA, 231 nt
Filed under: Vitis vinifera (wine grape)
Lineage: Eukaryota; Viridiplantae; Streptophyta; Magnoliopsida; Vitales; Vitaceae
Description: long non-coding RNA (VVIN_LNC008126)
Source: RNAcentral